CUGGCCUUGACAUCCACGGAACUUACCAGAGAUGGUUUGGUGCCUUCGGGAACCGUGAGACAGGUGCUGCAUGGCUGUCGUCAGCUCGUGUCGUGAGAUGUUGGGUUAAGUCCCGCAACGAGCGCAACCCUUGUCCUUAGUUGCCAGCAUUAAGUUGGGGACUCAUGCGAGACUGCCGGUGACAAACCGGAGGAAGGUGGGGAUGACGUCAAGUCAUCAUGCCCCUUAUGUCCAGGGCUACACACGUAGCUACAUUGGCGUGUACAGAGGGCUGCGAUACCGCGAGGUGGAGCGAAUCCCUUAAAGCACGUCUCGGUUCGGAUUGUAGGCUGAAACCCGCCUACAUGAAGGUGGAGUUGCUAGUAAUCGCGGAUCAGCAUUGCCGCGGUGAAUA
This 394-nucleotide ribosomal RNA is filed under the name uncultured Actinomycetes bacterium. Its description in RNAcentral is "bacterial SSU rRNA". It matches the Rfam family "Bacterial small subunit ribosomal RNA", at positions 975 to 1368 of the family's 1533-position model. The record is from RNAcentral. Lineage: Bacteria; Bacillati; Actinomycetota; Actinomycetes.